This 922-nucleotide long non-coding RNA is filed under the name Setaria viridis. RNAcentral describes it as "long non-coding RNA (SVIR_LNC008553)". Lineage: Eukaryota; Viridiplantae; Streptophyta; Magnoliopsida; Poales; Poaceae. The record is from RNAcentral.
CAUGGUUUUGACCCAACCAACAAAUCCGGCAAUAUAGCUCAAUGGAACCCCAGAAAUCUCAAACACAGUAGCUUACAUGGCAAGGACUCGACAAAAGAACAGCCCCAAUAAAGCAGAAAGACGGUGAAUCCAGGGCUUAGAAGCACUUCCGGUGAACAAUUGCUGGGCCUGACUCAUCAUACUCACCCUUCGAGAUCCACAUCUGCCAUAUAAACAUCAGAGCAUACUGUUAGUAUACUGACAAAAAUAAAGCAUAGUGCAACUACUGCAACAUAGGAAAAUCUGAUAGUUGAGCAACAGAGAAGUGUAAAUCUUGACCUGUUGGAAGGUGCUAAGGGAGGCAAGGAUGGACCCUCCAAUCCAGACACUGUAUUUCCUCUCAGGUGGUGCCACCACCUUAAUCUUCAUACUGCUUGGUGCAAGGGCAGUGAUCUCCUUGCUCAUGCGGUCAGCAAUACCAGGGAACAUGGUUGAGCCACCGCUGAGCACAAUGUUACCAUAGAGGUCCUUCCUAAUAUCCACAUCACACUUCAUGAUAGAGUUGUAGGUGGUCUCAUGGAUUCCAGGCGACUCCAUACCAAUGAAUGAAGGCUGGAAAAGGACCUCAGGGCAUCUGAACCUCUCUGCCCCGAUGGUGAUCACCUGCCCAUCAGGCAGCUCAUAGCUCUUCUCCACAGAGGAGCUGGUCUUAGCAGUCUCAAGCUCCUGCUCAUAGUCAAGUGCCACAUAGGCGAGCUUCUCCUUGAUGUCCCUUACAAUUUCCCGCUCGGCAGUGGUGGUGAAGGAGUAACCCCUCUCAGUAAGAAUCUUCAUCAGACUGUCAGUGAGAUCACGUCCAGCAAGGUCAAGACGGAGAAUGGCGUGCGGAAGGGCAUAACCUUCAUAGAUUGGCACGGUAUGGCUCACACCAUCACCAGAGUCC